Diospyros lotus (date-plum) is the source of this 851-nucleotide long non-coding RNA. RefSeq lists it as uncharacterized. The transcript has 2 exons. NCBI's taxonomy places the organism in Eukaryota, Viridiplantae, Streptophyta, Magnoliopsida, Ericales, Ebenaceae. The record is from RefSeq and is a predicted model, not a curated record.
UUAUCAUGAGAUUUUGAAACCAACUUAUCGAGAUGAAAUAAUUUGGAGAUGAAAUAAUAUGAAUCCCCGGCCGCCCGCCCACUUAUUAGAUCCAGAUCGUUCCCCUGUCUCUCUCUCUUUCUUGCUUUCUUCUCUCCGUCUCCUCCACUUCCAGCGUGUCUCCCCCACCUCCGUCAUCGGUCUUCCACCAGUAGCGGUCGUCGCCAGUGAGCUCGAAGAUGGAGUUGCCGACGAGCUCGAAGAAGGAAACCAGUCGCCGGUGAGCUCGAAGACGAAGAAGCCGCCUACAUCGCCGGCGAGCUCGCCUACGUCAGUGGCCGGUGGUCGGUGAUCGAUGCUCGCAGUGCUCCGUCGAUUGAGAAGUCUGAUUGCCCACUGCCACCGUCGAAUCGCCACAAGGUUGCCGAUUUGAGAAGUUCGAUUGCUUCGUUUUGAGUCAUUCACCAGUGACUGACCUGAGGUUCCAGAGCCAUGCAGUCUUGGCAUUGCAGGAAGCAGCAGAGGCAUACCUUGUUGGGUUGUCUGAAGAUACCAAUCUCUGUGCAAUUCAUGCAAAGCGUGUCACUAUGAUGCCUAAAGACAUUCAGCUUGCAAGGAGAAUUAGGAGGGAGAGGGCUUAGUAGCGUGUAGGUGGUGAGGCUAUGUGAAGCGAAGUUAAUUCUUCUUAGUGAUACUAAUGGGAACCUUUCUAACAGUGUUUUCUUUGUUAAAACCAUAUAGUUAUGUUGUCCUUCCCUGUGGAAACUAAAAGUUUGGUGCAAUGGUUUGGAUUGUGUACAUAGGAUUAUGUCUUGAUACAGGCUACUUUUUUGGUGCUAAUGUCUGAUGCGUAAACACCCAUUGUGCUGAAA